ACGCUAGCUACAGGCUUAACACAUGCAAGUCGAGGGGCAUCAGGAAGAAAGCUUGCUUUCUUUGCUGGCGACCGGCGCACGGGUGAGUAACACGUAUCCAACCUGCCCUUUACUCGGGGAUAGCCUUUCGAAAGAAAGAUUAAUACCCGAUAGCAUAAUGAUUCCGCAUGGUUUCAUUAUUAAAGGAUUCCGGUAAAGGAUGGGGAUGCGUUCCAUUAGGUUGUUGGUGAGGUAACGGCCCACCAAGCCUUCGAUGGAUAGGGGUUCUGAGAGGAAGGUCCCCCACAUUGGAACUGAGACACGGUCCAAACUCCUACGGGAGGCAGCAGUGAGGAAUAUUGGUCAAUGGGCGCUAGCCUGAACCAGCCAAGUAGCGUGAAGGAUGAAGGCUCUAUGGGUCGUAAACUUCUUUUAUAUAAGAAUAAAGUGCAGUAUGUAUACUGUUUUGUAUGUAUUAUAUGAAUAAGGAUCGGCUAACUCCGUGCCAGCAGCCGCGGUAAUACGGAGGAUCCGAGCGUUAUCCGGAUUUAUUGGGUUUAAAGGGAGCGUAGGUGGACUGGUAAGUCAGUUGUGAAAGUUUGCGGCUCAACCGUAAAAUUGCAGUUGAUACUGUCAGUCUUGAGUACAGUAGAGGUGGGCGGAAUUCGUGGUGUAGCGGUGAAAUGCUUAGAUAUCACGAAGAACUCCGAUUGCGAAGGCAGCUCACUGGACUGCAACUGACACUGAUGCUCGAAAGUGUGGGUAUCAAACAGGAUUAGAUACCCUGGUAGUCCACACAGUAAACGAUGAAUACUCGCUGUUUGCGAUAUACAGUAAGCGGCCAAGCGAAAGCAUUAAGUAUUCCACCUGGGGAGUACGCCGGCAACGGUGAAACUCAAAGGAAUUGACGGGGGCCCGCACAAGCGGAGGAACAUGUGGUUUAAUUCGAUGAUACGCGAGGAACCUUACCCGGGCUUAAAUUGCAGUGGAAUGAUGUGGAAACAUGUCAGUGAGCAAUCACCGCUGUGAAGGUGCUGCAUGGUUGUCGUCAGCUCGUGCCGUGAGGUGUCGGCUUAAGUGCCAUAACGAGCGCAACCCUUAUCUUUAGUUACUAACAGGUUAUGCUGAGGACUCUAGAGAGACUGCCGUCGUAAGAUGUGAGGAAGGUGGGGAUGACGUCAAAUCAGCACGGCCCUUACGUCCGGGGCUACACACGUGUUACAAUGGGGGGUACAGAAGGCAGCUAGCGGGUGACCGUAUGCUAAUCCCAAAAUCCUCUCUCAGUUCGGAUCGAAGUCUGCAACCCGACUUCGUGAAGCUGGAUUCGCUAGUAAUCGCGCAUCAGCCACGGCGCGGUGAAUACGUUCCCGGGCCUUGUACACACCGCCCGUCAAGCCAUGGGAGCCGGGGGUACCUGAAGUACGUAACCGCAAGGAUCGUCCUAGGGUAAAACUG
RNAcentral lists this ribosomal RNA (1434 nucleotides) under uncultured organism. RNAcentral describes it as "16S ribosomal RNA". It matches the Rfam family "Bacterial small subunit ribosomal RNA". The record is from RNAcentral.